GACGAACGCUGGCGGCGUGCCUAAUACAUGCAAGUAGAACGCUGAAGGGAGAGCUUGCUCUUCUGGAUGAGUUGCGAACGGGUGAGUAACGCGUAGGUAACCUGCCUGGUAGCGGGGGAUAACUAUUGGAAACGAUAGCUAAUACCGCAUAACAUUGACUAUUGCAUGAUAGUCAAUUGAAAGGUGCAAAUGCACCACUACCAGAUGGACCUGCGUUGUAUUAGCUAGUUGGUGGGGUAACGGCUCACCAAGGCGACGAUACAUAGCCGACCUGAGAGGGUGAUCGGCCACACUGGGACUGAGACACGGCCCAGACUCCUACGGGAGGCAGCAGUAGGGAAUCUUCGGCAAUGGGCGGAAGUCUGACCGAGCAACGCCGCGUGAGUGAAGAAGGUUUUCGGAUCGUAAAGCUCUGUUGUAAGAGAAGAACGAGUGUGAGAGUGGAAAGUUCACACUGGACG
Molecule: ribosomal RNA, 461 nt
Filed under: Streptococcus cristatus
Lineage: Bacteria; Bacillati; Bacillota; Bacilli; Lactobacillales; Streptococcaceae
Description: bacterial SSU rRNA
Rfam family: Bacterial small subunit ribosomal RNA
Source: RNAcentral